RNAcentral lists this ribosomal RNA (122 nucleotides) under Anolis carolinensis (green anole). The record is from RNAcentral. Lineage: Eukaryota; Metazoa; Chordata; Lepidosauria; Squamata; Anolidae.
UGCUAAGUCCUAGUAAGUACCAUAAGAGCACCAAAUUCUGUCUAAUCUUGGAAGCUAAGUAUGGUCUGCUCUGGUUAGUACUUGAAUAAGAGACUCCCAACGAAUACAAGGUGACUGUGUGU